UCAACUCGUAUUUUCCGGUGGUGGAGUUACAUUUGAAUCCCGAUCGUCGUCAAAGAAACAGUAAUAACCUUGGCUGUAAUCGUCUCGCUCUCGUCAUGCUCGCGACGCGUUCGUCUUUUCACAUUUCCGCGCUUCACUGAAACAAGGAAUGACUGACGCUCAUAUUAGCCAAUCUGCGGUCUUCAUUAAACGCAAGAACUUAAUGGUGAAAUUUGAUUGGUUAUGUAUCGUUGGAGAGAACACUGAACCUGGGACAGCGCCAGCACGCAGGAUCACAAUCAACUCGCGUCACAACAAAAUGGGCAGUCGCACAAAUGCUCCCAAAUAUAUUUUAAGGUCGCACAGAUAAAAUUUCGGUCGCAUAUGCCACCAAAAUGGUCGCAAUUUCGAGCCCUGGCUGGUAUGACCAGCAUGGGAUGCUGGUGCUAAUGCUGGUUUGGUGCUGGUUUAGCUGGUGCUAAUGCUGGUUUAGCUGGUGUUCACUAGCAAACCAGCACCAAAACACAACAUAUGCUGGUCUUGCUGGUAUGCUGGUUUUUUCAGCAGGGAACCCAAGAAAUGUUUUGGACAGUUCGCGCAAAGAAGGGUCUGUGGAUACGGAGGACACCGAUCCUACAGAUAAUCCUCAUGAUACAUCUCAAGAACCUCUUGAUUCUGCAGAGAUCUCAUUUGGCAACUCAAGCCCAGAGGUGGGUAGUAACGAAUUACAUUUACUCCGUUACAUUUACUUGAGUACAAUUUUGGGGUAACUAGUACUUUUACAGUAUUUUUAAGGAUGGGUACUUUUACUCUUACUCAAGUACAUUUCUAGUGAAAAAAUUGUACUUUUACUUCACUACAUUCGGUGGCGUUACUCCGCUACUGUCAAAUCAUAAUUAAUUAAUAUAUAUAUUUGUUUUAAGUUUAUAUGACUUGUUAUAUGAAAGUCUCGCGAGAUGUCACGUUGGCGAGGUGGCGUUGCCAGAGUUGCUACGCAUCACAUCCUUUAGGCGCGUAGAUGGAAAGAGAUGGCCGAAGCAGAGGAUGCCGUGUCCAAGUUAUCGGAGGCAGAUCAUCCCUGGCCUCAAAUUCGAUCGAUGUUUACACUUAAAGAUGCCAAAAAGAAUAGUUAUGUAAUGCGAUGUACGAUGUGUGCUCCAAAACAAACGGACAUAUCAGCUUACAGGAAUUCAAGCUCCAACUUGAAAAAACACGUAGCGAGGAUUCACCCAAACAAGCUGAAGGUUUAUGAAGAAUUAAUCAAGUCAAAAAAACGAGGAUCAGACGCAGUCACGGUGGAUGAACCUCAUUCAAAAAAGAAUCCAAAUAUCAUGAGUGCCUUUUUGUCUGUGAAGGAAACCAGCCAUUUUCUGUUGUGGAAUUACCGUCAUUUAAGAAAAUGAUAGAAACCUUGCAACCUCAGUGCACAGUCAUGACAAGAAAAACACUGCGUCUCAAAGUGCAGGAUACAUUUGAAAAUAUGAAGUGUGCACUUGUCCAAAAACUGAAUGAUGCUGAAUAUGUUGCUACAACUGCAGACUGCUGGUCAGCCAAGCAGCGCAGUUACUUGGGGGUAACCUGCCACUGGAUAGACAGUAGAUCUUUCGAAAGAUAUUCAGCAGCCUUGGCUUGCAGAAGGAUAACAGGAUCACACACAUUCGAUGUAAUUGCUGCCGCUUUAGAGGAAAUACAUGUAGAGUACAAAAUCAGAGGAAAGAUAACAAGGACGACUACAGAUAGUGGCUCAAACUUUCUGAAGGCCUUUCGAAUAUAUGGGGAGGAGAAAGAAGAUGAUGGACAGGAGGAGGGAGACUUCACACUUGAUGAUGAAUCUGAAGAAAGUGAAUCGGAGAUGGAGUACCAAGAGCUCUCUGGUAUUUUAAAUGGUGACUGUGGCCUGGAAUACCAACUUCCCAGACAUCAAAAAUGUGCAUGCCAUCUACUAAAUGUAUGCACAGCAUUAAAAAUAAAAAUGCUCAAUACAGCUGAAUUGGGAUUUUUGGCUGAGUACGCUACUGUAAUGAAGCCAGUUGCAAUGGCCCUCAACCUUCUCCAAGGGGAAUCAUCAGUUCAUAUGGGUUUUCUGCUGCCAACACUUCAUCAACUGCAGGAAAAGCUGAAGAGGCUGCUGUCAACAUGUAAAGCAUGUCAACCCCUCGUUAAGGCCCUACAGGAAGGAAUCCUCAAACGCUUUGGAGAGGUCAUGAAGGAGCCAGAGCUUAUUGCUGCAGCUAUACUGCUUCCAAAAUUCAAAACUGCCUGGACAACAGACCAGAGCCUCUUGACAACAGGACUAGACUACAUAAAAGAUCAUCUGGUGGAGAUCAGCAUGGAAAAUGAUGCCCUCUGCUACAGCAGUCCGUCAGAUGAAGAGGACUUCUUUGGAUCCAUGAACACAAGUCACUCAGAAACAGGAGAGCUGGAGAGGUACCUUUCAUGUCCAUCACCUGGAGGUAUGGAUCUGUUACACUCCUUUCCACAAGUCAAGAAGUUGUCUCUAAAAGUAAACACAGCCAUCCCAGCAUCUGCAGCCUGUGAAAGACUUUUUAGUCAUGCAGGACUCCUGCUCACAGCUAAAAGAUCUAGACUGCAUUGUAAAUUUCUUGAAAGCCAAUUACUGUUGAAGUUCAACAGUAAAAUUGUGUAAAACUGUUUGUUCAAAAAGAACAUGACCAAAUAAACAUUCACAUACUGAAACACAAAUACAGAUAAACAAGUUCAUAUAGAAACAUUAAAACAAAUACACACAUUCUCUUUGUUCACUGUUAGGUUGUUUAAAUGCAAAUGCUGACAAGUUUGUGUUGUGAAAAUAAAAACACAGUUAACUGUUAGAAAAACAUUUUGGUGUGUUUGAGAUUUUUUUUACGUAGUUUUACGUAGGCCUAUAUAAGCAGAACAAUGAGACUUUCAAGGAGAGGUUUGUGAAAGCCCUCCAAGUAGUCUGAAAUUCAGUGUUUUUACACUUCUCUUUCAGAUCGGAAGUAACUAGUAACUAACUACUUGAGUAGUUUUCUCAUCUUAUACUUUUUUACUCUUACUCAAGUAAAUUAUUAGAUUACUACUUUUACUUUUACUUGAGUAAAUAUUUCUUUAAGUACUUGUACUUUUACUUGAGUACAGAUUUUGGGUACUCUACCCACCUCUGCUCAAGCCCUUCAAAUGACAAUAGGCCUACCGUAGCAACCCAAGAAGCAAGUGGUGCACGUCAGCAGGAGGGUGGAACUGGUACAUCUAAAGCACGGAGAAAACGUAAAAACAAAUUGGAAUCACAAUGGAUCCUUUUGUGGCGAAGAUUGCCAAUACUCUCACCCAGACGGAUGACACCGAGCUUCAGCUGAAACUACAGGCUGC
Misgurnus anguillicaudatus (oriental weatherfish) is the source of this 3330-nucleotide non-coding RNA. The record is from RefSeq and is a predicted model, not a curated record. Lineage: Eukaryota; Metazoa; Chordata; Actinopteri; Cypriniformes; Cobitidae.